This 77-nucleotide transfer RNA is filed under the name Malus domestica (apple). RNAcentral's name for it is "tRNA-Ile". It matches the Rfam family "tRNA". Rfam says of the family: Transfer RNA (tRNA) molecules are approximately 80 nucleotides in length. Their secondary structure includes four short double-helical elements and three loops (D, anti-codon, and T loops). RNAcentral also lists the same sequence under 154 other names. The record is from RNAcentral. Lineage: Eukaryota; Viridiplantae; Streptophyta; Magnoliopsida; Rosales; Rosaceae.
GGGCUAUUAGCUCAGUGGUAGAGCGCGCCCCUGAUAAUUGCCGGGCGAGGUCUCUGGUUCAAGUCCAGGAUGGCCCA